RNAcentral lists this ribosomal RNA (253 nucleotides) under uncultured bacterium. RNAcentral describes it as "partial 16S ribosomal RNA". It matches the Rfam family "Bacterial small subunit ribosomal RNA", at positions 524 to 776 of the family's 1533-position model. The record is from RNAcentral.
UACGGAGGGGGCAAGCGUUGUUCGGAAUUACUGGGCGUAAAGGGCGCGUAGGCGGCCGCCUAAGUCAGACGUGAAAUCCCUCGGCUCAACCGGGGAACUGCGUCUGAUACUGGGUGGCUUGAAUCCGGGAGAGGGAUGCGGAAUUCCCGGUGUAGCGGUGAAAUGCGCAGAUAUCGGGAGGAACACCGGUGGCGAAGGCGGCGACCUGGGUCGAUACUGACGCUGAUGCGCGAAAGCGUGGGGAGCAAACGGG